CUCCUACGGGAGGCAGCAGUCGGGAAUUUUGGGCAAUGGGCGAAAGCCUGACCCAGCAACGCCGCGUGAAGGAUGAAGUAUUUCGGUAUGUAAACUUCGAAAGAAUAGGAAGAAUUAAUGACGGUACUAUUUAUAAGGUCCGGCUAACUACGUGCCAGCAGCCGCGGUAAUACGUAGGGACCAAGCGUUGUUCGGAUUUACUGGGCGUAAAGGGCGCGUAGGCGGCGUGACAAGUCACUUGUGAAAUCUCUGGGCUUAACCCAGAACGGCCAAGUGAAACUGUUGUGCUAGAGUGCGGAAGGGGCAAUCGGAAUUCUCGGUGUAGCGGUGAAAUGCGUAGAUAUCGAGAGGAACACCUGAGGUGAAGACGGGUUGCUGGGCCGACACUGACGCUGAUGCGCGAAAGCCAGGGGAGCAAACGGGAUUAGAUACCCCGGUAGUCCUGGCCCUAAACGAUGAAUACUUGGUGUCUGGAGUUAUUAGUGCUCCGGGUGCCGUCGCUAACGUUUUUAGU
This 514-nucleotide ribosomal RNA is filed under the name uncultured bacterium. Its description in RNAcentral is "bacterial SSU rRNA". It matches the Rfam family "Bacterial small subunit ribosomal RNA", at positions 336 to 865 of the family's 1533-position model. The record is from RNAcentral.